UUUUGAAAAAGGCAAACCAUCUGAAAGGAUGGGGCGCAAAGCCUAGGAACCUGUAAUCAGUAACUUGAUCAUGGUCGUCCAGCUGCCAGG
RNAcentral lists this non-coding RNA (90 nucleotides) under Bacillus sp. (in: firmicutes). Its description in RNAcentral is "Bacillus sp. c-di-GMP sequence". It matches the Rfam family "c-di-GMP-I riboswitch aptamer". Rfam says of the family: GEMM was predicted in a large-scale screen for bacterial structured RNA regulatory elements. Genes associated with GEMM are involved in a diverse array of functions, including chemotaxis regulation, signal transduction, secretion and chitin. Lineage: Bacteria; Bacillati; Bacillota; Bacilli; Caryophanales; Bacillaceae. The record is from RNAcentral. RNAcentral also lists the same sequence under 1 other name.